UAACACCUUGAAACCAGUUUUCCACUCAUAUGCUGAGCAAUUGCUCACUUAUAACAGCCAACCCAUCCUCACUUUCAGAAAUCAUCUUACCAUGUUUUACAACCUUCCUUCGAAGAGAACUUCCAACUUGUACAUGCCAUUUCAAAACUUUCAAUUCUCCUCUAGUAGACUUCGUUUCCUCUUCAUAGACCCUUAUGAUUUACACAAUGAGCAAGUCCAAGAACAAAAUGAGACUUGGAGACACAUUCUCACCUCUAGACAUGUCUUGGUUGGCUGUUCUAUAGCCUCCACCAAGAUGUCCAACGGCAGUUUUGAGACAUAUUGUCCCAAUCAAUGGUCUAGGCAAUUAGGUCUUUCC
RNAcentral lists this unclassified non-coding RNA (358 nucleotides) under uncultured bacterium. RNAcentral's name for it is "contains 16S-23S intergenic spacer region". The record is from RNAcentral.